AAGUGUUACAGCUCUUUUAGAAUUUGUCUAGCAGUCUUUUGAUUUUUGCCGGAAAACCUC
Callithrix jacchus (white-tufted-ear marmoset) is the source of this 60-nucleotide small nuclear RNA. Its record names the gene U7. It matches the Rfam family "U7 small nuclear RNA". Rfam says of the family: Animal histone pre-mRNAs are spliced by a different mechanism than nuclear pre-mRNAs and self-splicing introns. This processing involves the U7 snRNP, which contains only one RNA species: U7. The record is from Ensembl. NCBI's taxonomy places the organism in Eukaryota, Metazoa, Chordata, Mammalia, Primates, Cebidae.